Molecule: ribosomal RNA, 462 nt
Filed under: uncultured bacterium
Lineage: Bacteria
Description: SSU rRNA
Rfam family: Bacterial small subunit ribosomal RNA
Source: RNAcentral
AGAAUUAACGCUGGCGGCGUGCCUAACACAUGCAAGUCGAACGAGAAAGGGGUAGCAAUACCCUGAGUAAAGUGGCGCACGGGUGAGUAACACGUGACUAACCUACCCUUGAGUGGGGGAUAACUGAGGGAAACCUUAGCUAAUACCGCAUAAUACCCACGGGUCAAAGGAGCAAUUCGCUCGAGGAGGGGGUCGCGGCCGAUUAGUUAGUUGGCGGGGUAAUGGCCCACCAAGACGAUGAUCGGUAUCCGGCCUGAGAGGGCGCACGGACACACUGGAACUGAAACACGGUCCAGACUCCUACGGGAGGCAGCAGUGGGGAAUUUUGCGCAAUGGGGGAAACCCUGACGCAGCAACGCCGCGUGGAGGAUGAAGUCCUUCGGGACGUAAACUCCUUUCGAUCGGGACGAUUAUGACGGUACCGGAAGAAGAAGCCCCGGCUAACUACGCGCCAGCAGCCGC